Molecule: ribosomal RNA, 600 nt
Filed under: Gracilibacillus orientalis
Lineage: Bacteria; Bacillati; Bacillota; Bacilli; Caryophanales; Bacillaceae
Description: bacterial SSU rRNA
Rfam family: Bacterial small subunit ribosomal RNA
Source: RNAcentral
UAAGAGCUCACCAAGGCGACGAUGCGUAGCCGACCUGAGAGGGUGAUCGGCCACACUGGGACUGAGACACGGCCCAGACUCCUACGGGAGGCAGCAGUAGGGAAUCUUCCGCAAUGGACGAAAGUCUGACGGAGCAACGCCGCGUGAACGAAGAAGGUUUUCGGAUCGUAAAGUUCUGUUGUUAGGGAAGAACAAGUACCGUUCGAAUAGGGCGGUACCUUGACGGUACCUAUCGAGGAAGCCCCGGCUAACUACGUGCCAGCAGCCGCGGUAAUACGUAGGGGGCAAGCGUUGUCCGGAAUUAUUGGGCGUAAAGCGCGCGCAGGCGGUUUCUUAAGUCUGAUGUGAAAUCUUGUGGCUCAACCACAAGCGGUCAUUGGAAACUGGGGAACUUGAGUACAGAAGAGGAGAGCGGAAUUCCACGUGUAGCGGUGAAAUGCGUAGAUAUGUGGAGGAACCCCAGUGGCGAAGGCGGCUCUCUGGUCUGUAACUGACGCUGAGGUGCGAAAGCGUGGGGAGCGAACAGGAUUAGAUACCCUGGUAGUCCACGCCGUAAACGAUGAGUGCUAGGUGUUAGGGGGUUUCCGCCCCUUAGUGCUG